Molecule: ribosomal RNA, 253 nt
Filed under: uncultured bacterium
Lineage: Bacteria
Description: partial 16S ribosomal RNA
Rfam family: Bacterial small subunit ribosomal RNA
Source: RNAcentral
UACGGGGGGGGCAAGCGUUGUUCGGAAUUACUGGGCGUAAAGGGUUUGUAGGUGGUCUGUUAAGUCAGACGUGAAACCCCUCAGCUUAACUGGGGAACUGCGUCUGAUACUGGAUGGCUUGAGUUUGGGAGAGGGAUGCGGAAUUCCAGGUGUAGCGGUGAAAUGCGUAGAUAUCUGGAGGAACACCGGUGGCGAAGGCGGCAUCCUGGACCAAUACUGACACUGAGGAGCGAAAGCCAGGGGAGCAAACGGG